GUGAGUCAUCGAAUCUUUGAACGCACAUUGCGCCCGCCAGUAUUCUGGCGGGCAUGCCUGUCCGAGCGUCAUUUCAACCCUCAAGCCCCCGGGCUUGGUGUUGGAGAUCGGCGUGCCCCCCCGGGGCGCGCCGGCUCCCAAAUAUAGUGGCGGUCUCGCUGUAGCUUCCUCUGCGUAGUAGCACACCUCGCACUGGAAAACAGCGUGGCCACGCCGUUAAACCCCCCACUUCUGAAAGGUUGACCUCGGAUCAGGUAGGAAUACCCGCUGAACUUAAGCAUAUCAAUAAGCGGAGGA
Molecule: unclassified non-coding RNA, 297 nt
Filed under: Ilyonectria sp.
Lineage: Eukaryota; Fungi; Ascomycota; Sordariomycetes; Hypocreales; Nectriaceae
Description: partial contains 5.8S ribosomal RNA, internal transcribed spacer 2, and large subunit ribosomal RNA
Rfam family: 5.8S ribosomal RNA (bases 1-71)
Source: RNAcentral